UCUUCGUCCAGCCAUGGACUAAGUGUUUUCACCCAUACCCCUUUCUAUUCAAUAUUUUGUUUCCACGUUUUGGUUCCAUUUUAUCUCUAGAAAUGCAUCAAGACGCAUAUAGUGCUUGUGUGCAAUAUUCCCUUGUGUUUUUUCCUUCGGGGCUUCCGACGACUUUGUCUUUUCUCUAACAACUGUCUCUCCUUAUGCUUAUAUGUCGUUUUUCCUUUUUAUGCUCUCUGACCUUAUUUGUGGAUGUGCUUCUGGUUGCUUGUGUGACGCAUAUAGUGCCUGUGUAUUGCUGCUCGUUUUUUGCUCUCUGGUUUUUUUGCUUUUUUUCUUCCGUGGUGUUGUUUUCGGUAGGUGCCUUUGGUGUGUUUGUAUUGGAGACGUAUGUGUGUCAAGACAUGCUUUUCUCUGUGUUGUAUAUCCCUUCUGUGCUUGUACCCAUAUAUUCUCUGGUGUCUUUUUAUAGUCUCUUACAUGCUCUUCGCCCUUUUUAUGUAUGUCUUCUCUCCAUGCUAACUCUGAUUUUUCUGCCUUUUAAAUAGUCCUCUGGUGUUUAGGUGUGAAACCUUUGGAUUGCUGAAUGAAUAACCUGGAUUAUGGGCGAAUAAGCCAAUGAAAAGGCCGCUGAAUGCAUGG
RNAcentral lists this long non-coding RNA (633 nucleotides) under Lupinus mutabilis. Its description in RNAcentral is "partial ncRNA". The record is from RNAcentral. Lineage: Eukaryota; Viridiplantae; Streptophyta; Magnoliopsida; Fabales; Fabaceae.